Molecule: long non-coding RNA, 2448 nt
Filed under: Sus scrofa (pig)
Lineage: Eukaryota; Metazoa; Chordata; Mammalia; Artiodactyla; Suidae
Description: lncRNA (ENSSSCG00000062548.1)
Source: RNAcentral
GCAUAUAUACAGAGAAAACUAUAAUUCAAAAGGAUACAUGCACCCCUAUGUUCAUUGCAGCCCUAUUCACAAUAGCCAAAACAUGGAAACAAUCUAAAUGUCCAUUGACAGAUGGAUGGAUUAAGAAGAUGUAGUACAUAUAUACAAUGGAAUACUACUCAGCCAUAAAAAAGAAUGAAAUAAUGCAACUAGAAUUCUCAUACUAAGUGAAGUAAGAAAGACAAAUACCAUAUGAUACCACUUAUAUGCGAAUGUAAAAUAUGGCACAAAUGAGUUCCUGCUGUUGUGCAACAGGAUUGGCAGCAUAUCUGGAGCACAAGGUCUCAGGUUCAAUCCCUGGCCUAACAGUGGGUUAAGUAUCCAGCAUUGCUGCAGCUUCAACAUAGGUCACAACUGCAUCUUGGAUCUGAUCCCUGGGCCAGGAGCUCCAUAUACUGCAGGGUGGCUGAAAAAGGAAAAAAUAUAUAUAUAUGGCACAAAUGAACCUACCUACAAAACAGAAACAGACUCACAAAAUGUGGAGAACAGAUUUGUGGUUGCCAAGGGGGAAGAGAAGGGAGUGGGAUGGACUGGGAGUUUGGGAUUGGUAGAUGCAAAGUAUUACAUUUAGAAUGGAUAAACAACAAGGUCCUACUGUAUAGCAGGAGAACUAUAGAUAAUCUCCUGAGAUAGGCCAUGAUGGAAAAUAAUAAAAAAGAGUGUACAUAUACAUGUGACUGAGUCACUGCUAUACAAUAGAAAUUGGCACAACAUUGUAAUCAACUAUACCUAAAGUUUUCUUUAAAAAAAAUACUAAAAGGAAAUAGAGUUAAUCCACAAAUAGGUCAUUCUGUUCAACUUCCCUAAAGACACAAGCUGGCAAUUAAGUCAUAAAGACCAAUUUGUCAGCAAACCAACUGUCCAAAGGCCUCCUAAUCCAGAACACAGUGUUUUGAAAGGACAUACAAAAUCUACCAUGCCCCACACAACCUGGCCAGGAUUGCAUUUGAAGAGUAAAGGUCAGCAAUGGACAAUUUCCACUGGACAGGUUAGGAAGGUCACCAAAAGGCCAGUGAAGUGCCUAGUAGCUGGGGAACAAAAUCCAAGGGCCAGGGUCUCUAAUGAUGCUUUCCUUUCUCCUCCCACCAGAAGAGCACACCAGACCCUCCCUCAUCUCUGAUUCCUUGGCCAUUAAGAAGGUCCAACAGGGAGUCACUGCUGUGGCGCCGUGGGUUAAGAAUCCAACCUCAGUGGCUCUGGUUGCCAUGGAGGCACAGGUUCAAUUCCCCAGCCUAGUGCAAUGGGUUAAAGGAUCUAGUGCUGCCACAGCUGUGACACAGGUCACAGCUGCAGCUCAGAUUGAAUCCCUGGCCUGGGAACUUCAAUAUGCCGUGGGCACAGCCAUCAAAAAAUUUUUAAAAAGGUCAAAAUCUUACAAAGGCUCCAGCAGCAUAUGGAAUCCCAGGGAUAGAACACAAGCAGGAGCUGCGACCUGUGCCACAGCUGCAGCAACAGUGGAUCCUUAACCCACUACGCCAAGCUGGGGAUCAAACCAGCACCUGCACAGAAAUAAGCCAGAUCACUAAAUCACUGCACCACAGCAGAAACUCUCUGUCACUUAUUAUUAGGACUUUCAACACUUUCACUUCUUUCAUAUGUAUCAGAUAUAUGUUAACAAUGUUCAUUAAGCUGCUCAAACCUAGGCAAAGUCACAGCGAACGCACCUGAUGAAUGACAAUGCCAGAGACCAAGAUAGACAGUCAAUAAGCUGCUGGUGGCAGAAAGAGUUGGAAAUUUGCCCUCUAUACAACUUUGUGGCUGCAAGAAAUGUCUCAAGUAGAGGAGUUCCUGUAUGUAUAAGGAAUUUAGCAAAUGCCAGGCAUUGUGCCAGGAGCUGGGAAUCCCAUGGGGAGCAAGAGAGACCUAGCCUCUGAUCUCCCCAAAUUCUCAAUCUAACAGAGGGGAUAGAUCAGGAAAUGGGCAACUGCCAUGCGGUGUGGUGAAAUGAUAGGGAGCUAUAGAAGCACAGAGAAAGGUCACCUAAUUCAGACUUGGCAGGCAGAGAAGUCUUAUGGAGGAUAAGAAGACUUAUGGAGGAUGAACAAGCUGAGACUGGAAGAACAAGUAGGAUUGGGUCAGAUAAAGAUAGAGGAGGGUCCUACUGGGGGAACAUGGCCUGUUUAGGCAACUGAAAGUACUUCAGUCCCGCAGGAUGCAAACUAUGAUGAGGGAAGCCAAGCCACGUAAGGCCCUAUAAGCCAUGAGGAGGGAGUGAGGUUGCGGGUUCGACCCCUGGCCUCGCUCAGUGGGUUAAGGAUCCGGCAUUGCCGCGAGCUGGGGUGUGGGUCACAGACUCGGCUCGGCUCGGAUCCCACGUUGCUGUGGCUGUGGUGUAGGCCAGUAGCUACAGCUCCGAUUAGACCCCUAGCCUGGGAACCUCCAUAUGCCGCAGGAGGGGCCCUAGAAAAA